This 253-nucleotide ribosomal RNA is filed under the name uncultured bacterium. RNAcentral describes it as "partial 16S ribosomal RNA". It matches the Rfam family "Bacterial small subunit ribosomal RNA", at positions 524 to 776 of the family's 1533-position model. The record is from RNAcentral.
UACGUGGGGUGCGAGCGUUGUUCGGAAUUACUGGGCGCAAAGCGCGUGUAGGCGGCCUAUUAUGUCAGGUGUGAAAGCCCUCGGCCUAACCGAGGAAGUGCGCCUGAAACUGCUAGGCUUGAGUACGAGAGAGGAGGACGUAAUUACCAGUGUAGAGGUGAAAUUCGUAGAUAUUGGGAGGAACACCGGCGGCGAAAGCGGUUGUCUGGAUCUAUACCGACGCUAAGACGCGAAAGCGUGGGGAGUAGACAGG